Molecule: long non-coding RNA, 1024 nt
Organism: Bactrocera oleae (olive fruit fly)
Lineage: Eukaryota; Metazoa; Arthropoda; Insecta; Diptera; Tephritidae
Source: RefSeq, a predicted model, not a curated record
AUUUAUAUAGAAAUACUUGUUUAUAUAAUAUUUUGUAUCAGAUCGUGAGCGAUCAGAUUUUGUUUAAGUAAUCUUAGUUUUAAGUCGGUCGAAUCAUUUAAAUCGAAAAAAUAUCAAUUUUAGAUUUUUAGCUCUUCCAAAAAUAUCUGAAAACAUAUGUAUGUAGUGUAUGUGUAAAAUAUUAGCUUUGAUUUCGAAGUGGUUCAAAUGAUAUUUCAGGCAAUCGACAAGCGCGUCGACUACGUGCUAGUCGCUUAUCAAAACGGUGGUUAUAAAUAAGUGGCAUCACCACAUUGCAGAGGAAACAUCACUAACUGCAAGAUUUCCAUUGUCAAGUGUGGAUGAAGUAGAAAAAUUAAAUGCGAAAUAAAUAACGCGAAAUAACAAUUGCGAAUGUUAUGUAAUUUAUUGACAAAUUUGAGCUGUUUCUUGAUUUUUUCUUAAUAAUUAUUUUUUUUUUGAGGUAAAGACUAUGAAAUUACUUUUUAAAUGUACUGACGUUCGCUGCUGUCUAAGAAUACAACGUUGAAGAUAUUCAUGGAAAAAAAUCUUCAAGAAGUUUCGAACACCACUCUAAUAGCUAAAAUCAAUAACAGCUAGCGAUGACUCAAAGCCGGCCGGGAAACAGUUGCGCAAAGCAAUCCAACAAUUAAAUAAAACAAAAAAAGUGUAAACAAAAUUAAAAAUAGAAAUAAAAGCGAUUAUGAUAUGAAUGUUGGCAUAACAUAUAAAAAUUGUGUUUCGUAUGUAUUAUUAAGCGAUGAAUUGUAUUCAAUGUGUAAGUAGUGAAAUAUAGCAAGUGGUAGAUAGUGAAGUAGGUGGUGAAAUAUGGAAUAUGGUAGGUGGUGGGGUAGGAAAUAUGUAUAUGAUAGAAAGUGGUAAGUGGUGAAGUAGCUAGUGAAUAGUGUUAACCGAAUACCGCCAAUGACAGCGCCAAGUAAAAUUCACGCGUAAACUUCAUAGCCGGUAAUCUGUUGGGUAACCAGUGGUGGUUACCAAUAGCCAGUGAAUUCACUAGUGUUUA